RNAcentral lists this ribosomal RNA (460 nucleotides) under uncultured bacterium. RNAcentral describes it as "partial 16S ribosomal RNA". It matches the Rfam family "Bacterial small subunit ribosomal RNA", at positions 338 to 795 of the family's 1533-position model. The record is from RNAcentral.
CCUACGGGAGGCUGCAGUGAGGAAUAUUGGUCAAUGGCCGUAAGCCUGAACCAGCCAAGUAGCGUGAGGGAUGACUGCCCUAUGGGUUGUAAACUUCUUUUAUGCGGGGAUAAAGGUGUCCACGUGUGGAUGUUUGCAGGUACCGCAUGAAUAAGGACCGGCUAAUUCCGUGCCAGCAGCCGCGGUAAUACGGAGGGUCCGGGCGUUAUCCGGAUUUAUUGGGUUUAAAGGGAGCGUAGGCCGGUCUUUAAGCGUGCCGUGAAAUUUUGUGGCUCAACCAUGAACGUGCAGUGCGAACUGGCGGCCUUGAGUGCGCGGAAGGCAGGCGGAAUUCGUGGUGUAGCGGUGAAAUGCUUAGAUAUCACGAAGAACCCCGAUUGCGAAGGCAGCCUGCCGCAGCGUUACUGACGCUGAUGCUCGAAAGCGCGGGUAUCGAACAGGAUUAGAUACCCCAGUAGUC